CCUACGGGUGGCAGCAGUCGAGAAUCAUUCACAAUGGGGGAAACCCUGAUGGUGCGACGCCGCGUGGGGGAAUGAAGGUCUUCGGAUUGUAAACCCCUGUCAUGUGGGAGCAAAUUAAAAAGAUAGUACCACAAGAGGAAGAGACGGCUAACUCUGUGCCAGCAGCCGCGGUAAUACAGAGGUCGCAAGCGUUGUUCGGAAUCACGGGGCGUAAAGCGUGCGUAGGCUGUUUCGUAAGUCGUGUGUGAAAGGCGCGGGCUCAACCCGCGGACGGCACAUGAUACUGCGAGACUAGAGUGAUGGAGGGGGAACCGGAAGUCUCGGUGUAGCAGUGAAAUGCGUAGAUAUCGAGAGGAACACUCGUGGCGAAGGCGGGUUCCUGGACAUUAACUGACGCUGAGGCACGAAGGCCAGGGGAGCGAAAGGGAUUAGAUACCCUUGUAGUC
This 446-nucleotide ribosomal RNA is filed under the name uncultured bacterium. Its description in RNAcentral is "partial 16S ribosomal RNA". It matches the Rfam family "Bacterial small subunit ribosomal RNA", at positions 338 to 795 of the family's 1533-position model. The record is from RNAcentral.